CAGGUGUCAUUGCUGCCCUAGGCGUGUGAAGGAACAGAGUCAAGCGGGUAUCCUCCUGGCAGCCUGUUGAGUCGCGUCAAGAUUUCAGGUACCGUGAGGAGGCGCAUAGC
Vidua macroura (Pin-tailed whydah) is the source of this 110-nucleotide long non-coding RNA. RefSeq lists it as uncharacterized. Lineage: Eukaryota; Metazoa; Chordata; Aves; Passeriformes; Viduidae. The transcript is spliced from 3 exons. The record is from RefSeq and is a predicted model, not a curated record.